This 301-nucleotide ribosomal RNA is filed under the name uncultured bacterium. RNAcentral describes it as "partial 16S ribosomal RNA". It matches the Rfam family "Bacterial small subunit ribosomal RNA", at positions 509 to 807 of the family's 1533-position model. The record is from RNAcentral.
CAGCCGCCGCGGGAAUACGGAGGGUGCAAGCGUUAAUCGGAAUUACUGGGCGUAAAGCGCACGCAGGCGGUUUGUUAAGUCAGAUGUGAAAUCCCCGAGCUUAACUUGGGAACUGCAUUUGAAACUGGCAAGCUAGAGUCUUGUAGAGGGGGGUAGAAUUCCAGGUGUAGCGGUGAAAUGCGUAGAGAUCUGGAGGAAUACCGGUGGCGAAGGCGGCCCCCUGGACAAAGACUGACGCUCAGGUGCGAAAGCGUGGGGAGCAAACAGGAUUAGAUACCCGGGUAGUCCCUGUCUCUUAUAC